Non-coding RNA from Myotis brandtii (Brandt's bat), 73 nucleotides. NCBI's taxonomy places the organism in Eukaryota, Metazoa, Chordata, Mammalia, Chiroptera, Vespertilionidae. The record is from Rfam.
GCCCGGGUAGCUCAGUUGGUUAGAGCAUUGUCCUGAUGUGCCAAGGUUGUGAGUCCAAUCCCCAGUCAGGGCA